RNAcentral lists this ribosomal RNA (400 nucleotides) under uncultured bacterium. Its description in RNAcentral is "bacterial SSU rRNA". It matches the Rfam family "Bacterial small subunit ribosomal RNA", at positions 30 to 430 of the family's 1533-position model. The record is from RNAcentral.
AUUGAACGCUGGCGGAAUGCUUUACACAUGCAAGUCGAACGGUAGAGGGGGCAACCCCUUGAGAGUGGCGAACGGGUGAGUAAUAUAUCGGAACGUGCCCAGUCGUGGGGAUAACGUAGCGAAAGUUACGCUAAUACCGCAUACGAUCUACGGAUGAAAGCGGGGGACUCGCAAGAGCCUCGCGCGAUUGGAGCGGCCGAUAUCAGAUUAGGUAGUUGGUGGGGUAAAGGCUCACCAAGCCAACGAUCUGUAGCUGGUCUGAGAGGACGACCAGCCACACUGGAACUGAGACACGGUCCAGACUCCUACGGGAGGCAGCAGUUGGGGGAAUUUUGGACAAUGGACGCAAGUCUGAUCCAGCCAUUCCGCGUGCAGGAUGAAGGCCCUCGGGUUCGUAAAC